CAGAAUAUAUGAUGAUCUCAUCUCAACUUGAACUCUCUCACUGAUUAAUUAAUUGAUGAUGAGAAAGAUCUGAUAUUCUG
Molecule: small nucleolar RNA, 80 nt
Organism: Cavia porcellus (domestic guinea pig)
Lineage: Eukaryota; Metazoa; Chordata; Mammalia; Rodentia; Caviidae
Rfam family: Small nucleolar RNA SNORD81
About the family: U81 is a member of the C/D class of snoRNA which contain the C (UGAUGA) and D (CUGA) box motifs.
Source: Rfam